CCGGCGCACGGGUGAGUAACGCGUGUGCAACCUGCCCGGCACAGUGGGAUAAUCCGGAGAAAUCCGGUCUAAUACCGCAUGACGCGGGAAAGGCGCAUGCCUUUUCCGCCAAAGGAGGCGACUCCGGUGCCGGCUGGGCACGCGUGACAUUAGCUAGACGGCGGGGUGACGGCCCACCGUGGCGACGAUGCGUAGGGGUUCUGAGAGGAAGGCCCCCCACACUGGGACUGAGACACGGCCCAGACUCCUACGGGAGGCAGCAG
This 263-nucleotide ribosomal RNA is filed under the name uncultured bacterium. Its description in RNAcentral is "partial 16S ribosomal RNA". It matches the Rfam family "Bacterial small subunit ribosomal RNA", at positions 95 to 354 of the family's 1533-position model. The record is from RNAcentral.